GACGAACGCUGGCGGCGUGCCUAACACAUGCAAGUCGAGCGAGGAGGAGAAAGCUUGCUUUCGAAUCCUAGCGGCGGACGGGUGAGUAACGCGUGAGCAACCUGCCUCUUACAGGGGGAUAACGCAUCGAAAGAUGUGCUAAUACCGCAUGAGACCACAGAGGGACAUCCCUUAGGGGUCAAAGAUUUUAUCGGUGAUAGAUGGGCUCGCGUCUGAUUAGCUAGUUGGUGAGGUAACGGCCCACCAAGGCGACGAUCAGUAGCCGACCUGAGAGGGUGAUCGGCCACAUUGGAACUGAGAAACGGUCCAAACUCCUACGGGAGGCAGCAGUGGGGAAUAUUGGGCAAUGGGCGCAAGCCUGACCCAGCAACGCCGCGUGAAGGAGAAGGUUUUCGGAUUGUAAACUUCUGUCCUUGAUGAAAAGCAGUAGAUGGUAAUCAAAGGAGGAAGCCCCCGGCUAACUACGUG
Molecule: ribosomal RNA, 468 nt
Filed under: uncultured bacterium
Lineage: Bacteria
Description: bacterial SSU rRNA
Rfam family: Bacterial small subunit ribosomal RNA
Source: RNAcentral